AAAAGAAAAAACAAAUAAAAGAUUUUCAAGUUUUAUUCAGAAAGAUGAGUCCAUGCAAGACCGCAGCGUUCUGCUUCAUGAUCCUCUUCGUCUCCUCUGUCUUGAUUGAUGAGAGCUCGGCGUGUGGAGAAGUGCUCGGCUCGUGUGGGAAAAUAGACUGCAAUAAAGAGUGCCAUUCAAAGCAUGGACCAAAGGCAGUUGCUCACUGCGACCGCGGCGGCAAGGCGGGCACUUGCAUCUGCGGCUACCCCUGCCCGGCUCAUCAUUGAAUGGCUCAUGCUUUCAUGUUUUAAAAACAAAAAUAUCAUUUGGUAAUCACAAUGAUGAAAAUAAAUAUUUUACAGAACCUAUAAAUCAAGUUUAUCA
Tarenaya hassleriana is the source of this 366-nucleotide long non-coding RNA. RefSeq lists it as uncharacterized. NCBI's taxonomy places the organism in Eukaryota, Viridiplantae, Streptophyta, Magnoliopsida, Brassicales, Cleomaceae. The transcript is spliced from 2 exons. The record is from RefSeq and is a predicted model, not a curated record.